GGAUGAGUGCACCCUGCUGUUGCAGCGUCUUCAGUGUGAUAAGCAUCUUCACUGAUUCAAGUUCCUUCCGGACACGUGUGCAUUGUGGGCUCUGUGCUGGCAAACCGUCUUUGGACAAUCUUGACAAUUUGACCUCAGAUCGGGUGGGACUACCCGCUGAACUUAAGCAUAUCAAUAAGCGGAGGAAAAGAAACUAACAAGGAUUCCCCUAGUAACGGCGAGUGAAGAGGGAAAAGCUCAAAUUUUGAAUCUGGUGUCUUYGGCGCCCGAGUUGUAAUCUAGAGAAGUGUUUUCUGCCUCGGACCACACAUAAAUUCCCUGGAAUGGGGUGUCAUAGAGGGUGAGAAUCCCGUUUGUGGUGUGGACUACCUUGGCUCUGUGAUACACUCUCAACGAGUCGAGUUGUUUGGGAAUGCAGCUCAAAAUGGGUGGUAAAUUCCAUCUAAAGCUAAAUAUUGGCGAGAGACCGAUAGCGAACAAGUACCGUGAGGGAAAGAUGAAAAGCACUUUGGAAAGAGAGUGAAACAGUACGUGAAAUUGUUGAAAGGGAAGCGUUUGAAGUCAGUCACAUUGGUCGGAAUUCAGCCUGGCUUCUGCCUGGUGUACUUUCUGGCAAAUGGGUCAGCGUCAAUUUUGACCGAGAGAAAAAGACUUGAGGAAUGUGGCUGUCUUCGGGCAGUGUUAUAGCCUCUUGUUGUAUGUCUCGGUUGGGAUUGAGGAUCGCAGC
This 727-nucleotide ribosomal RNA is filed under the name uncultured Sebacinaceae. RNAcentral's name for it is "eukaryotic LSU rRNA". The stretch from base 130 to 727 matches the Rfam family "Eukaryotic large subunit ribosomal RNA", at positions 1 to 601 of the family's 3401-position model. Lineage: Eukaryota; Fungi; Basidiomycota; Agaricomycetes; Sebacinales; Sebacinaceae. The record is from RNAcentral.